GGAGGAACCUCUGGAGAGAACCGUUAAAUCGGUCGCCGAAGGAGCAAGUUUUGCGCAAGCAAAGUGAAACUCUCAGGCAAAAGGACAGAGGAGUGGAA
Non-coding RNA from Vibrio ponticus, 98 nucleotides. The record is from Rfam. Lineage: Bacteria; Pseudomonadati; Pseudomonadota; Gammaproteobacteria; Vibrionales; Vibrionaceae.